GACGAACGCUGGCGGCGUGCUUAACACAUGCAAGUCGUACGGUAAGGCCCUUUCGGGGGUACACGAGUGGCGAACGGGUGAGUAACACGUGAGUAACCUGCCCACCACUUUGGGAUAACGCUAGGAAACUGGUGCUAAUACUGGAUAUGUGCUCCUGCUGCAUGGUGGGGGUUGGAAAGCUCCGGCGGUUGUGGGUGGACUCGCGGCCUAUCAGCUUGUUGGUUGGGUAGUGGCCUACCAAGGCGGCGACGGGUAGCCGGCCUGAGAGGGUGACCGGCCACAUUGGGACUGAGAGACGGCCCAGACUCCUACGGGAGGCAGCAGUGGGGAAUGUUGCACAAUGGGCGCAAGCCUGAUGCAGCAACGCCGCGUGCGGGACGACGGCCUUCGGGUUGGAAACCGCUUUCAGCAGGGACGAAGCUUUUUGUGACGGUACCUGCAGAAGAAGCACCGGCUAACUACGUG
Molecule: ribosomal RNA, 465 nt
Filed under: uncultured bacterium
Lineage: Bacteria
Description: partial 16S ribosomal RNA
Rfam family: Bacterial small subunit ribosomal RNA
Source: RNAcentral